AUUGAACGCUGGCGGCAUGCCUUACACAUGCAAGUCGAACGGCAUCGCGGGAAAGCUUGCUUUCCUGGCGGCGAGUGGCGAACGGGUGAGUAACACAUCGGAACGUACCGGCUGGUGGGGGAUAACCCGUCGAAAGACGGGCUAAUACCGCAUACGCUCUUCGGAGGAAAGCAGGGGACCUUUGGGCCUUGCGCUAGCCGAGCGGCCGAUGUCCGAUUAGCUAGUUGGUGGGGUAAAGGCCUACCAAGGCGACGAUCGGUAGCGGGUCUGAGAGGACGAUCCGCCACACUGGGACUGAGACACGGCCCAGACUCCUACGGGAGGCAGCAGUGGGGAAUCUUGGACAAUGGGGGCAACCCUGAUCCAGCAAUGCCGCGUGGGUGAAGAAGGCCUUCGGGUUGUAAAGCCCUUUCGGCAGGGAAGAAAUCGGCGGGGCGAAUAACCCUGCUGGAUGACGGUACCUGCAGAAGAAGCACCGGCUAACUACGUG
RNAcentral lists this ribosomal RNA (490 nucleotides) under uncultured bacterium. Its description in RNAcentral is "partial 16S ribosomal RNA". It matches the Rfam family "Bacterial small subunit ribosomal RNA", at positions 29 to 507 of the family's 1533-position model. The record is from RNAcentral.